Long non-coding RNA from Stegostoma tigrinum, 1250 nucleotides. RefSeq lists it as uncharacterized. The record is from RefSeq and is a predicted model, not a curated record. Lineage: Eukaryota; Metazoa; Chordata; Chondrichthyes; Orectolobiformes; Stegostomatidae. The transcript is spliced from 4 exons.
GGAUGUCGCCCAAUCGGAAUGAAGGGAGGGCGGGAUCAGUGAAAACCACGUGAUCAUCCACGAGUGCGGUGCAGAGUCGCUGAGAUAACCGGAACUGCAGAUGCUGGAGAAUCCGAGAUAACACGGUGUGCAGCUGGAUGUACACAGCAGGUCAAGCAGCAUCAGAGGAGCAGGAAAGCUGACGUUUCGGGCCUCGAUCCUUCGCUGAGACCAAAAUUUGUGCAAUUGAGAUACCAGCGAUCGUUGCCAAAGCCCUCUUACCUGUGGAGAAGGAUAUUACAAGUGGACUUUCAGGUAGGAAGCUCAAUAAUUGUAACACCAAACUCUGACAGAAUUACUCAAUUCAAUCAGGACCUGGAUAUUCGCAUUGUGUAUUUCCACAAUUUUACUUCUGCACUAUUCUUAGUCUUUCAGAGGGAUCAAAAGGUUGAGUUACAGAUCUAUACAAUGACUGUCCUUCCUCGCUGGCUCCCCCACCUCUCUCUUUUGGUAGUUUUAUGCAAACACUGACUGGAUCCCUUACCUGGAGGAUAUUUGUGAAUGAAUUUGUUCUAAUGGUGAUCCAGCAUUUUCCCCAAGUAUCGCUCCACACAUGCCCAGAGAAUUUCUCAGUUUCACAAUCUGUGUCCUUCUGGUUUCUUACUCGCUACACUUAACUUUCUGUUUGAAAGUAUAGUCUGCAGUUGGAGAAUUUAAACAGGUCCACAUCCAGGUCUGACGGUCACUUUGUUUCUCACAACCCAAUUAUCUCAGGAUUUUGAACAAUGAAGGAAAAAGCAGCACUCACAUUGGGGAGAAAUGCACAUGGUGUGUGUGUUGAAGAGCCUGUGAAGAUUCAUCUGAAAUGUCCGAACACCAGUGCAGUGACACUGGGAGAGAGUGUGGAAAUGUGCAGAUUGCAGGAAGGAAUUUCUUCAUCCAUCCCAGCUAGAAACUGACCACCAGAGUCACACUGGAGAGAGACCAUUGACCUGUUCUGCAUGAGGGAAAGGCUUUGCUGAUUCGAAUUCCCCGCUGAUACACCAGCGAGUUCACUCUGGGGAGAGACCUUUCAUGAGCUCUGAGUGUGGGAAGGGAUUCAUUGUCAGCCAAACUGUUAACACACCAGUGAGUUCACAGACAACCACAGUUGAAGAACUUUGCUGUCACUCUCACUAUCAAAUGAACCAUGGUUUUGGGCUGUUUGUACAGAUGUUACCGAUCCCUGCUCAAUUAAAGGUGCUGGUAUUGUGAAUAAAAUGUCACACUAA